UUAAUUUGAGAGUUNGAUCCUGGCUCAGGACGAACGCUNGCGGCGUGCCUNNNACAUGCAAGUCGAACGAACUCUGGUAUUGAUUGGUGCUUGCAUCAUGAUUUACANNUGAGUGAGUGGCGAACUGGUGAGUAACACGUGGGAAACCUGCCCAGAAGCGGGGGAUAACACCUGGAAACAGAUGCUAAUACCGCAUAACAACNNGGACCGCANGGNCCGAGCNNGAAAGAUGGCUUCGGCUAUCACUNUUGGAUGGUCCCGCGGCGUAUUAGCUAGAUGGUGGGGUAACGGCUCACCAUGGCAAUGAUACGUAGCCGACCUGAGAGGGUAAUCGGCCACAUUGGGACUGAGACACGGCCNNAACUCCUACGGGAGGCAGCAGUAGGGAAUCUUCCACAAUGGACGAAAGUCUNAUGGAGCNACGCCGCGUGAGUGAAGAAGGGUUUCGGCUCGUAAAACUCUGUUGUUAAAGAAGAACAUAUCUGAGAGUAACUGUUCAGGUAUUGACGGUAUUUAACCAGAAAGCCACGGCUAACUACGUGCCAGCAGCCGCGGUAAUACGUAGGUGGCNAGCGUUGUCCGGAUUUAUUGGGCGUCAAGCGAGCGCAGGCGGNCNUUUNAGUCUGAUGUGAAANNNUUCGGC
Molecule: ribosomal RNA, 643 nt
Filed under: Lactiplantibacillus plantarum
Lineage: Bacteria; Bacillati; Bacillota; Bacilli; Lactobacillales; Lactobacillaceae
Description: Lactobacillus plantarum partial 16S ribosomal RNA
Rfam family: Bacterial small subunit ribosomal RNA
Source: RNAcentral